Polyodon spathula (Mississippi paddlefish) is the source of this 359-nucleotide long non-coding RNA. RefSeq lists it as uncharacterized. The transcript has 3 exons. The record is from RefSeq and is a predicted model, not a curated record. Lineage: Eukaryota; Metazoa; Chordata; Actinopteri; Acipenseriformes; Polyodontidae.
UGUAUUCUCCGUAUACCGCACCUCAACCAAGCCAGAAAUUGAUCCGAGCAGUCUAGUAAUUGCAGGAAACCAUUCAUGUGUCCCUGUAAUCUGCACUCCAGACUUUGCGGUCUUCAAAUUUCCUGUGACUGGCUGUGGGACACGUGUCUUUACUGUGGCGGAGACUACAAUCUAUCUUGCUGAAGUUCGUGGUUUGGUUCGGGGGAUCCAGCAGAUGUAUGGACAAAUUACCAGAGAUGGCCCUUAUCGUUUCCAUGUGGAAUGUCGCUAUUCUAAAGGAAACUUGGCCAGCAUGGGUUACUUGGUGGUGAACCCAUCGCCUCCAUCAGCAGCCUUGGCUUUUGGCUGGCUUGGGGUUA